This 228-nucleotide long non-coding RNA is filed under the name Drosophila guanche. The record is from RNAcentral. Lineage: Eukaryota; Metazoa; Arthropoda; Insecta; Diptera; Drosophilidae.
CUCAGUUGUUUUAGAUGUACCUUACGGCUCCCUCUCUAACCUCUCUAUCUCACACUCUCUGUCUCUCUCUCUCUCUCUCUGUCUUCGUUCUUCUUCUUUGUUCACACUAUUCAUUUUCCGCUCGUUUUAAUCUGAGUUCCUUCACUUGGGGUGGUCGAUAUUUAUCUUAUUUUGUGUGCAUUUAAAACUUAUUUUCUUUGUGGAACCCCUUUAAUGUCAUGUGUUAUC